AGUGAACGCUGGCGGUAGGCCUAACACAUGCAAGUCGAACGGCAGCACAGGAGAGCUUGCUCUCUGGGUGGCGAGUGGCGGACGGGUGAGGAAUACAUCGGAAUCUACUUUUUCGUGGGGGAUAACGUAGGGAAACUUACCCUAAUACCGCAUACGACCUACGGGUGAAAGCAGGGGAUCUUCGGACUUUGCGCGAUUGAAUGAGCCGAUGUCGGAUUAGCGAGUUGGCGGGGUAAAGGCCCACCAAGGCGACGAUCCGUAGCUGGUCUGAGAGGAUGAUCAGCCACACUGGAAAUGAGACACGGUCCAGACUCCUACGGGAGGCAGCAGUGGGGAAUAUUGGACAAUGGGCGCAAGCCUGAUCCAGCCAUACCGCGUGGGUGAAGAAGGCCUUCGGGUUGUAAAGCCCUUUUGUUGGGAAAGAAAUCCAGCUGGUUAAUACCCGGUUGGGAUGACGGUACCCAAAGAAUAAGCACCGGCUAACUUCGUGCCAGCCGCCGCCGUAA
This 506-nucleotide ribosomal RNA is filed under the name uncultured bacterium. RNAcentral's name for it is "partial 16S ribosomal RNA". It matches the Rfam family "Bacterial small subunit ribosomal RNA", at positions 29 to 523 of the family's 1533-position model. The record is from RNAcentral.